This 518-nucleotide ribosomal RNA is filed under the name uncultured Glomus. RNAcentral's name for it is "SSU rRNA". It matches the Rfam family "Eukaryotic small subunit ribosomal RNA", at positions 569 to 1092 of the family's 1831-position model. Lineage: Eukaryota; Fungi; Glomeromycota; Glomeromycetes; Glomerales; Glomeraceae. The record is from RNAcentral.
AGCAGCCGCGGUAAUUCCAGCUCCAAUAGCGUAUAUUAAAGUUGCUGCAGUUAAAAAGCUCGUAGUUGAAUUUCGGGACUAAUAUGUCGGUCGUGCCUCGGUACGUACUGGCUUAUUGGUUUCUCCUUUCUGAAGAACCAUGAUGUCAUUUAUUUGGUGUCGUGGGGAAUCAGGACUGUUACUUUGAAAAAUUAGAGUGUUUAAAGCAGGCUCACGCUUGAAUACAUUAGCAUGGAAUAAUGAAAUAGGACGUUCGAUCCUAUUUUGUUGGUUUCUAGGAUCGACGUAAUGAUUAAUAGGGAUAGUUGGGGGCAUUAGUAUUCAAUCGUCAGAGGUGAAAUUCUUGGAUUUAUUGAAGACUAACUACUGCGAAAGCAUUUGCCAAGGAUGUUUUCAUUAAUCAAGAACGAAAGUUAGGGGAUCGAAGACGAUCAGAUACCGUCGUAGUCUUAACCAUAAACUAUGCCGACUAGGGAUCGGAUGAUGUUAAUUUUUAAUGACUCAUUCGGCGCCUUAAC